RNAcentral lists this ribosomal RNA (582 nucleotides) under Debaryomyces hansenii. RNAcentral's name for it is "LSU rRNA". It matches the Rfam family "Eukaryotic large subunit ribosomal RNA", at positions 65 to 493 of the family's 3401-position model. The record is from RNAcentral. Lineage: Eukaryota; Fungi; Ascomycota; Pichiomycetes; Serinales; Debaryomycetaceae.
ACAAAGGGUGAUUGCGUUAGUACAGGCGAGUGAAGCGGCAAAAGCUCAAAUUUGAAAUCUGGCACCUUCGGUGUCCGAGUUGUAAUUUGAAGAAGGUAACUUUGGAGUUGGCUCUUGUCUAUGUUCCUUGGAACAGGACGUCACAGAGGGUGAGAAUCCCGUGCGAUGAGAUGCCCAAUUCUAUGUAAAGUGCUUUCGAAGAGUCGAGUUGUUUGGGAAUGCAGCUCUAAGUGGGUGGUAAAUUCCAUCUAAAGCUAAAUAUUGGCGAGAGACCGAUAGCGAACAAGUACUGUGAUGGAAAGAUGAAAAGAACUUUGAAAUAAGAAUGAACUUGUUCUCUGUAAUUGUUGAACGGGGGAGCGUUUCGAUAACAAAUUUGUUUUAUUGCUUCUUCUCGCUCAGGGGGUCUCCCCCCGCGGGGGGGCCGCGCCAUGGAUAUGGACGACAGCCACUCCCUAUUGUUCGUCUUCCCUUUCCGUUGUGGAUCCAAGGUUGCGAUUUUGGAUUUGGCCGAUUGCGGCCUCUCUCUGCGAUGUAACGUGGUACUUGUUUUUUCCUUCCCCACGAGUAAGCAAAUGAAAA